RNAcentral lists this transfer RNA (73 nucleotides) under Levilactobacillus brevis. RNAcentral describes it as "tRNA-Asn". It matches the Rfam family "tRNA". From Rfam's summary of the family: Transfer RNA (tRNA) molecules are approximately 80 nucleotides in length. Their secondary structure includes four short double-helical elements and three loops (D, anti-codon, and T loops). Further hydrogen bonds mediate the characteristic L-shaped molecular structure. tRNAs have two regions of fundamental functional importance: the anti-codon, which is responsible for specific mRNA codon recognition, and the 3' end, to which the tRNAs corresponding amino acid is attached (by aminoacyl-tRNA synthetases). tRNAs cope with the degeneracy of the genetic code in two manners: having more than one tRNA (with a specific anti-codon) for a particular amino acid; and 'wobble' base-pairing, i.e. permitting non-standard base-pairing at the 3rd anti-codon position. The record is from RNAcentral. Lineage: Bacteria; Bacillati; Bacillota; Bacilli; Lactobacillales; Lactobacillaceae.
GAGGAUUUAGCUCAGUCGGUAGAGCAGUUGGCUGUUAACCAGCUUGUCACAGGUUCGAAUCCUGUAAUCCUCG